GAAAUUACCCUCCAGAGCUACACUUUGUCAAUUAUUCCUAAGGUAUGUUAACCAACAACCAUGGGAUUGGUACACCGAAUUAUAGAGGCUAUAGCCAUGAGUUUUGUGCACUGAGUUCUGAAAGCUCCGCCAACAGGCUUGGUACAUCAAAUUUUGGAGGCUACGGCUAUGGGUUUGGUGCACUGAUUGCUGGAGGCUUGCAACGGCUAGACCAUAAG
This 218-nucleotide long non-coding RNA is filed under the name Setaria italica (foxtail millet). RNAcentral's name for it is "long non-coding RNA (SITA_LNC005952)". The record is from RNAcentral. Lineage: Eukaryota; Viridiplantae; Streptophyta; Magnoliopsida; Poales; Poaceae.